GGGCCCGCACAAGCGGUGGAGCAUGUGGUUUAAUUCGAUGAUACGCGAGGAACCUUACCAGGGCUUAAAUGUAGUGGGACAGGUCUAGAGAUAGACCCUUCUUCGGACUCAUUACAAGGUGCUGCAUGGUUGUCGUCAGCUCGUGCCGUGAGGUGUCAGGUUAAGUCCUAUAACGAGCGCAACCCCUAUCGUUAGUUGCCAGCGAGUAAUGUCGGGAACUCUAACGAAACUGCCAGUGCAAACUGUGAGGAAGGUGGGGAUGACGUCAAAUCAUCACGGCCCUUACGUCCUGGGCUACACACGUGCUACAAUGGCCGGUACAGAGAGCAGCCACUUCGCAAGAAGGAGCGAAUCUCUAAAGCCGAUCUCAGUUCGGAUUGGAGUCUGCAACUCGACUCUAUGAAGCUGGAAUCGCUAGUAA
RNAcentral lists this ribosomal RNA (421 nucleotides) under uncultured bacterium. RNAcentral describes it as "bacterial SSU rRNA". It matches the Rfam family "Bacterial small subunit ribosomal RNA", at positions 917 to 1341 of the family's 1533-position model. The record is from RNAcentral.